UUGAAAGGGAAACGAUUGAAGUCAGUCGUACCAGCGGGAAUCAACCUUUCGAGUGGGGGUUUUGGAGUUUUGAAGAGUGUCAAAACCUUUGAGANUUCNNAAUCUUCGCUCUUUUGGUGUACUUUCUCGUGGGUAGGUUAACAUCGAUUUUGAUCAUCAUAAAAAGAUUGGAGGAAUGUAGCUUCGAUCUUGUAUUGAAGUGUUAUAGCCUUUGGUAAAUGUGAUGAUUAGGAUCGAGGAUUGCAACGAAUACCCUUUUGGGCUAUCCGCCUGAUCUCUGAUACGUGGCCUUGGUAUCGAAAGCUUGCUUAUGGUAUUAAGGUAUUACGGUCAAAAGGUUAGAACGGAUUACAUUCGUUAAGGAUGUUGACGUA
RNAcentral lists this ribosomal RNA (374 nucleotides) under uncultured Glomeromycotina. RNAcentral describes it as "LSU rRNA". The record is from RNAcentral. Lineage: Eukaryota; Fungi; Glomeromycota.